AACGGCGAGUGAAGAGGAAAGAGCUCAAAGUUGGAACCUGUUUGGCUUAGCUUAACCGGAUUGUAAACUGUAGAAGUGUUUUCCAGACACGCCUGGUAAAAAAGUCCUUUGGAACAGGGCAUCAUAGAGGGUGAGAAUCCCGUCUUUGGCCAGAGCUGUUGUCUUUUGUGAUACAUUUUCAAAGAGUCAGGUUGUUUGGGAAUGCAGCCUAAAUUGGGUGGUAAAUCUCACCUAAAGCUAAAUAUUUGCGAGAGACCGAUAGCGAACAAGUACCGUGAGGGAAAGAUGAAAAGAACUUUGAAAAGAGAGUUAAACAGUAUGUGAAAUUGUUAAAAAGGGAACCGUUUGGAGCCAGACUGGCUUGACUGUAAUCAAUCUAGGCUUCGGCCUGGAUGCACUUGCGGUUUAUGCCUGCCAACGACAAUUUUUUUUGAGGGAAAAAACUAUUAGGAAUGUGGCCCCCCUCGGGGGGUGUUAUAGCCUUUUAGAAAAUACCUUGAAUUGGAUUGAGGAACGCAGUGAAUGCCUUUUUAAGGCAAGAUUGCUGGGCGCUUUCGCUAAUAAAUGCUAGAAUUUCUGCUUCGGGUGGUGCUAGUGUUUAAAGGAGAAACUCGCUUGGUAUAUUUUUUAUUCGCUUAGGUUGUUGGCUUAAUGACUCUAAAUGACCCGUCUUGAAACACGGACCAAGGAGUCCACCAUUAGUGCGAGUAUUUGGGUGCCAAACCCAUAUGCGUAAGGAAACUGAUUGAUACGAAAUCCUUGAGAUGGCAGUAUCACCCGGCGAUGACGUUUUAUACUGAACCGACCGAGGUAAAGCACUAAUGAUGGGACCCGAAAGAUGGUGAACUAUGCCUGAAUAGGGUGAAGCCGGAGG
This 874-nucleotide ribosomal RNA is filed under the name Mucor saturninus. RNAcentral describes it as "LSU rRNA". It matches the Rfam family "Eukaryotic large subunit ribosomal RNA", at positions 85 to 858 of the family's 3401-position model. Lineage: Eukaryota; Fungi; Mucoromycota; Mucoromycetes; Mucorales; Mucoraceae. The record is from RNAcentral.